This 468-nucleotide ribosomal RNA is filed under the name uncultured bacterium. RNAcentral describes it as "partial 16S ribosomal RNA". It matches the Rfam family "Bacterial small subunit ribosomal RNA", at positions 28 to 507 of the family's 1533-position model. The record is from RNAcentral.
GACGAACGCUGGCGGCGUGCUUAACACAUGCAAGUCGAACGGAAAGGCCCUGCUUUUGUGGGGUGCUCGAGUGGCGAACGGGUGAGUAACACGUGAGUAACCUGCCCUUGACUUUGGGAUAACUUCAGGAAACUGGGGCUAAUACCGGAUAGGGGCUCCUGCUGCAUGGUGGGGGUUGGAAAGUUUCGGCGGUUGGGGAUGGACUCGCGGCUUAUCAGCUUGUUGGUGGGGUAGUGGCUUACCAAGGCUUUGACGGGUAGCCGGCCUGAGAGGGUGACCGGCCACAUUGGGACUGAGAUACGGCCCAGACUCCUACGGGAGGCAGCAGUGGGGAAUAUUGCACAAUGGGCGGGAGCCUGAUGCAGCAACGCCGCGUGCGGGAUGACGGCCUUCGGGUUGUAAACCGCUUUCGCCUGUGACGAAGCGUGAGUGACGGUAAUGGGUAAAGAAGCACCGGCUAACUACGUG